GUCCUGGUCACCAGCAAGUUGAACAUGAGCCAGCUGUGGCCAAAAGGGCCAGUGGCACCUGGCUUGUAGCAGCAGUAGUGUGGCCAGCAGGACCAGGGCAGUGAUGGUGCUCCUUUGCUGGGCACUGGUGAGGCCACACC
This is a long non-coding RNA of Corvus hawaiiensis (hawaiian crow), 140 nucleotides long. RefSeq lists it as uncharacterized. NCBI's taxonomy places the organism in Eukaryota, Metazoa, Chordata, Aves, Passeriformes, Corvidae. The transcript has 3 exons. The record is from RefSeq and is a predicted model, not a curated record.